This 303-nucleotide ribosomal RNA is filed under the name Pelobates cultripes (western spadefoot toad). RNAcentral describes it as "SSU_rRNA_microsporidia". It matches the Rfam family "Eukaryotic small subunit ribosomal RNA", at positions 166 to 470 of the family's 1831-position model. Lineage: Eukaryota; Metazoa; Chordata; Amphibia; Anura; Pelobatidae. The record is from RNAcentral.
AAUAUUGAGACAUAUAAAAAAAGACAACUCUGUUCCGCAGAGUAGCUGUUGACAUUAUAGUUGCGCAGGCACUUUGUUGACUCUAGAGAACCUCGGGUCAAUCGCACAUCCCUGUGGCGGCGACUUUGCAUGCGGAUGUCAUCCAUAUCAACUUUCGAUGCCAGUUUCUGCGCCUACCAUGGUGACCAUGGGUAAUGGGGAAUCAGGGUUCCAUUCCGUACAGGGACCCUGAGAAACAACUACCACAUGCAAGGAAGGCAGCAGGCGUGCAAAUGACCCACUCCCGAUGCGGGAAGGUAGUGA